CAAUAGCGUAUACUAAUUUUGUUGCAGUUAAAAGCUCGUAGUUGGAUUUCUUUCCCUUGUAUUAGGCACUUCUUCCAUGAAGGAGUGUUCUGGUACGGAGGAAAACAUUUGUCGCAAACCGACAUGAUCACUUUAUUGGGGUCAGUCGUUAAGUGACUCGUUUACUUUGAGAAAAUUAGAGUGUUCAAAGCAGGCACUUGCUCUGAAUAUGUUAGCAUGGAAUAAUAACAUAGGACUUUAGUUCUAUUUGUUGGUUGUUCGAGAACUGGAGUAAUGAUUGAUAGGGACGGUUGGGGGCGAUCUGUAUUCUCAAGCGAGAGGUGAAAUUCUUGGACCUUGGGAAGACAAACAGCUGCGAAAGCGUUUGCCUAGGACGUUCUCUUUAAUCAAGAACGAAAGUUGGGGGAUCGAAGACGAUCAGAUACCAU
RNAcentral lists this ribosomal RNA (428 nucleotides) under uncultured eukaryote. RNAcentral's name for it is "bacterial SSU rRNA". It matches the Rfam family "Eukaryotic small subunit ribosomal RNA", at positions 592 to 1018 of the family's 1831-position model. The record is from RNAcentral.